This 1372-nucleotide long non-coding RNA is filed under the name Chinchilla lanigera (long-tailed chinchilla). Its description in RNAcentral is "lncRNA (ENSCLAG00000022573.1)". The record is from RNAcentral. Lineage: Eukaryota; Metazoa; Chordata; Mammalia; Rodentia; Chinchillidae.
AUUUCAAGGUUUUCCUUUAUUUCGCUCUAUUCAUCAUUUUUCCAGGUAAUCCUUCCAGAGAACAGAGGCUCCACAUUAAGAAUACCCCAGCUGGCGACCAGAGGAUCCCAGGCAGAUGGGAAUUAAGCUGUGACUCACAGACAGUCCGUCAUCCAGCUUUGUGCCCAACAUCUCCCAUGGCUUCCUGUGAUCAGUGCGGUCCCUGGCCAGGCAGCCCCUCCCGAGCUCCUGCUGACAGCAAACGCUGUAUGAGCACGUGGUGCUCCUGGUGGCUGAGAGGCUGGGGACUGACCCAACCCUCUGCCUGUGAGACAGAAGGAAACCAGAGUGAGCACCCAGAGGGAGGCCACAUGAUGGCACCUCGAGGGGUGUGGUGAUGCCAGGUGGGACACAGGGAUGCACACUGGUAGCUGGAGCAGGAGCGUGUGUGUGUGUGUGUGUGUGUGUGUGUGUGUGUGUGUGUGUGUGUGUGUAAAGAGGCAGCCAGGAGACCAUAUCCAAGGUAAAGUUGAAGUCUGGAGCUCCUCCAAAAAAACAAGUGAGACUUCCUCCUUCAUUUCCCUUUUAUUUCACAGAUCACAAACCUAUUGGUUGGUGCUGCUCACACCUAGGAUGGGCCUUCUGUCUUCAGCAAAUCCCUGCAGCUACCCAGAACCAUGGUGAUACAAGGUGCUGUUCAUGUACCACCAACUGCCAGGUCUUGUCCACAGCCUCAGACUUCUGCUUCAAAUUGCCUGUAAGUCUUCUCCGUGUGACGCCAGUAAAAAUUUCCAAGUCAGCAUUAGUCAGCUGUCCAGGGUUGUUCCAGCAUAAAGCAGCUAACAACAAAUCCACCGCCUGUGGCCCCACCACCAUCCGGUGCCCCGGUGACCCAUCCCACUUCAGAAGUGGACACACCAAUACGGCUCCCAGCGGGCCCCUCGGGACUUGGUCUGUGCCCUGUCUUCAGGAUGCUCCAGCCACUGACAGCCCACUCAUGGUCACAUCCCCUUGCCUCGGCAGGGAGGGGGCCCUGGAAAUGCUCGCUGCAGGGGGACUAAAGACAAAACAAGGCAACAACAGCAGCCUGGCGCACACUUCUAAAGUCCUGGGACUAACUCUAACUCGGCUUCAUCAUGUCCCACAUCCCUCCUCCCGCUUAUGCACCACACUUACACAUACCCGUGCUCACAAUCAGCUGGCGGUCACACUGACGACCUGCCCACAGUCACACUCACACUGUGGUCACCUACCCCCGCCUGCACAUCAGCAGUGCCCAGCAGUGAGGGUGCUGGUACAGCCCUGCCUGUCUCAUCAGAUAAUAAAGUGGAAAAAGGCCUUCCUGCUUCCCAGGAGUUUUUGCUCUGUCUUUAGUACCACUUCUGCCCACUGA